This 1064-nucleotide ribosomal RNA is filed under the name Microbacterium sp. BAB-2330. RNAcentral's name for it is "bacterial SSU rRNA". It matches the Rfam family "Bacterial small subunit ribosomal RNA", at positions 192 to 1268 of the family's 1533-position model. The record is from RNAcentral. Lineage: Bacteria; Bacillati; Actinomycetota; Actinomycetes; Micrococcales; Microbacteriaceae.
GGUGGGUGUUGAAAGAUUUAUCGGUUUUGGAUGGACUCGCGGCCUAUCAGCUUGUUGGUGAGGUAAUGGCUCACCAAGGCGACGACGGGUAGCCGGCCUGAGAGGGUGACCGGCCACACUGGGACUGAGACACGGCCCAGACUCCUACGGGAGGCAGCAGUGGGGAAUAUUGCACAAUGGGCGCAAGCCUGAUGCAGCGACGCCGCGUGAGGGAUGACGGCCUUCGGGUUGUAAACCUCUUUCAGUAGGGAAGAAGCGAAAGUGACGGUACCUGCAGAAGAAGCACCGGCUAACUACGUGCCAGCAGCCGCGGUAAUACGUAGGGUGCGAGCGUUAUCCGGAAUUAUUGGGCGUAAAGAGCUCGUAGGCGGUUUGUCGCGUCUGUCGUGAAAGUCCGGGGCUUAACCCCGGAUCUGCGGUGGGUACGGGCAGACUAGAGUGCAGUAGGGGAGACUGGAAUUCCUGGUGUAGCGGUGGAAUGCGCAGAUAUCAGGAGGAACACCGAUGGCGAAGGCAGGUCUCUGGGCUGUAACUGACGCUGAGGAGCGAAAGCAUGGGGAGCGAACAGGAUUAGAUACCCUGGUAGUCCAUGCCGUAAACGUUGGGCACUAGGUGUGGGGACCAUUCCACGGUUUCCGCGCCGCAGCUAACGCAUUAAGUGCCCCGCCUGGGGAGUACGGCCGCAAGGCUAAAACUCAAAGGAAUUGACGGGGGCCCGCACAAGCGGCGGAGCAUGCGGAUUAAUUCGAUGCAACGCGAAGAACCUUACCAAGGCUUGACAUGUUCUCGAUCGCCGUAGAGAUACGGUUUCCCCUUUGGGGCGGGUUCACAGGUGGUGCAUGGUUGUCGUCAGCUCGUGUCGUGAGAUGUUGGGUUAAGUCCCGCAACGAGCGCAACCCUCGUUCCAUGUUGCCAGCACGUAAUGGUGGGGACUCAUGGGAGACUGCCGGGGUCAACUCGGAGGAAGGUGAGGACGACGUCAAAUCAUCAUGCCCCUUAUGUCUUGGGCUUCACGCAUGCUACAAUGGCCGGUACAAUGGGUUGCGAUACUGCUAACGGUGAAC